GUUUUGAUCAUGUGCCACUCUGUUGUUUGAGGCUUGUUUUCUAUUAAAAGUCGUUCCUUAAGUAAAAAAAUUCUAGUUAUACUUAAAAGUAGUAUUGGAUAAUUUUUCUAUGGCUAUCAUGAAGGAGAAGGCCAAACCAUAUUUGCUACUGUGAUUGCAUGUGACAUAGUAAUGGUUCCUUUAUUUAUUCUUCUAAUGCUCUUGUCCUAUCAACCAGAUUGAGUUUCAUGUUGGCAAAAGGAAACCACCAAUACUUAUUGAAAAAUAUGAGAGACUUCGUAGUGUAAAUUCUUUCAAAAAGGAAAUUCUGUAAAAUGAACUAUACAUCAUACCCCAUGUUGUUUAGUUUGCAGUAACAAUAUAUUUUGUUUUACAACAACCCAACUAGUUAAAGCAAGUUGUCUUUGCCAUUUUUUUAUUCUGUGGUUUCGCGAAUUCUGUACUGAAUACAUACUAUGUGUUGGUAAAGUUGCUGAUAGUUUGUCUUGCGGUUAAUUAAUACAAGGAAAAUAUAUCAUUUGUACUCAUGUCAUUUUCGUGUCAUUAUGCCAAUUGUGUUUAUGUUUUGACCCACUGAAAUUGAGAAGCUCUGCCCCAGUUUCAUGGAGAAUUCUGGUACCGUUACUGUUGGAAAUGCUUCUAGUAUAAGAUUGAGAUGGUGUUGCCGCAUUAGUAUUGGUGAGUGGAAAGAAGUCUCAAGAACUUUGUCUGCAAGUCCUUGCAAUGAUCAAAGGAUUUGCUGAUGCAUCUCAAGUUUCAAUUUACAAGCUCGGUGCAAUCAACCAAAAGGAAGUUGGAAGGUAAAU
This is a long non-coding RNA of Lolium rigidum, 806 nucleotides long. RefSeq lists it as uncharacterized. The record is from RefSeq and is a predicted model, not a curated record. The transcript is spliced from 3 exons. Lineage: Eukaryota; Viridiplantae; Streptophyta; Magnoliopsida; Poales; Poaceae.